CACGAGGUGUUGCAUGGCUGUCGUCAGCUCGUGUCGUGAGAUGUUCGGUUAAGUCCGCUAACGAGCGCAACCCUCGCUGUAUGUUACAUGUGUCAUACAGGACCGCCGGUAUCAAGCCGGAGGAAGGUGGGGAUGACGUCAAGUCCGCAUGGCCUUUAUGUCCGGGGCUACACACACGCUACAAUGGUCGGUACAAUGGGUUGCUAAGCCGCGAGGUGGAGCCAAUCCCCCAAAGCCGGCCUCAGUUCAGAUUGCAGGCUGCAACUCGCCUGCAUGAAGCUGGAGUUGCUAGUAAACGCGCGUCAGCUAUAGUGCGUUGAAUACGUUCUCGGGCCUU
Molecule: ribosomal RNA, 337 nt
Filed under: uncultured Anaerolineaceae bacterium
Lineage: Bacteria; Bacillati; Chloroflexota; Anaerolineae; Anaerolineales; Anaerolineaceae
Description: bacterial SSU rRNA
Rfam family: Bacterial small subunit ribosomal RNA
Source: RNAcentral